RNAcentral lists this ribosomal RNA (313 nucleotides) under uncultured bacterium. Its description in RNAcentral is "bacterial SSU rRNA". It matches the Rfam family "Bacterial small subunit ribosomal RNA", at positions 28 to 334 of the family's 1533-position model. The record is from RNAcentral.
GAUGAACGCUGGCGGCGUGCUUAACACAUGCAAGUCGAACGGACUUAUGUUGAAACCUAGUGAUAUAUAAGUUAGUGGCGGACGGGUGAGUAACGCGUGGAUAACCUGCCAUAUACAGGGGGAUAACACUUAGAAAUAGGUGCUAAUACCGCAUAAGUGCACAGCUUCGCAUGAAGCGGUGUGAAAAACUCCGGUGGUAUAUGAUGGAUCCGCGUCUGAUUAGCUAGUUGGCGGGGUAACGGCCCACCAAGGCGACGAUCAGUAGCCGGCCUGAGAGGGUGAACGGCCACAUUGGGACUGAGACACGGCCCAA